RNAcentral lists this ribosomal RNA (441 nucleotides) under uncultured bacterium. Its description in RNAcentral is "bacterial SSU rRNA". It matches the Rfam family "Bacterial small subunit ribosomal RNA", at positions 958 to 1397 of the family's 1533-position model. The record is from RNAcentral.
AACGCGAAGAACCUUACCUGGGCUCGAAAUGUAGUGGACUGGGGUAGAAAUAUCCCUUUCUCGCAAGAGACUGCUAUAUAGGUGCUGCAUGGCUGUCGUCAGCUCGUGUCGUGAGAUGUUGGGUUAAGUCCCGCAACGAGCGCAACCCUUAUCCCUAGUUGCCAUCGGGUCAAGCCGGGCACUCUAGUGAAACCGCCCCGGAUAACGGGGAGGAAGGUGGGGAUGACGUCAAGUCCUCAUGGCCUUUAUGUCCAGGGCUACACACGUGCUACAAUGGUCGGUACAGAGGGACGCAAGACCGCGAGGUGGAGCAAAUCCUUAAAACUGGGCCCAGUUCAGAUUGUAGUCUGCAACUCGACUACAUGAAGUCGGAAUCGCUAGUAAUCGCGGAUCAGCUAUGCCGCGGUGAAUACGUUCCCGGGCCUUGUACACACCGCAUAC